RNAcentral lists this ribosomal RNA (253 nucleotides) under uncultured bacterium. RNAcentral's name for it is "partial 16S ribosomal RNA". It matches the Rfam family "Bacterial small subunit ribosomal RNA", at positions 524 to 776 of the family's 1533-position model. The record is from RNAcentral.
UACGAAGGGGGCUAGCGUUGCUCGGAAUCACUGGGGGUAAAGGGUGCGUAGGCGGGUCUUUAAGUCAGGGGUGAAAUCCUGGAGCUCAACUCCAGAACUGCCUUUGAUACUGAGGAUCUUGAGUUCGGGAGAGGUGAGUGGAACUGCGAGUGUAGAGGUGAAAUUCGUAGAUAUUCGCAAGAACACCAGUGGCGAAGGCGGCUCACUGGCCCGAUACUGACGCUCAGGCGCGACAGCGUGGGGAUCAAACAGG